AUGGACAUGGAGCGCCGCGCGGACACCCCGAUCGCCGCGGGGCGGCAGCCUGCGAAUCUAUGGCGCAAGGCGUUGGACGCCAUCCGGGCGUGCAACAGGCUUGGGCACGUCGUGAGGCGGAGCACCUCCUACACCGCCAUCACGAUCCACCACCACGACGGUCACUCCGACGCUGAUGCCGACUCGUGGUACCCUGCUGCCGCCGCCGCCGCCGCCGACGUCGACGGCGGUUCCUUGAAGCGCCUGCUCAAGGAGAUGGACGAGGAGUGCUUCCGCCGCCUCGGUGGCGGCGCCGGCGUCGCAGCCAAGCUCGCCUCCCACCCGGAGCGGGGCAUCGCCGGGGACGCCGACGACGUGCGACGGCGCAAGGCUGACUUCGGCGUCAACGCGUGCCCGAAGCCCGAGUUCAAGAGCUUCUUUGGCCACGUCCGGGACGCGCUCAGCGACGUUUUCCUCAUCGCCCUCCUCGUUUGCUCCGCCGUUUCCCUCGGCGUCGGUAUCAAGGAGCACGGCCUCAAGGACGGGUGGUACGACGGCGCCAGCCUCUUCCUCGCCGUGUUCCUCGUCUCCAGCUUGACGGCCGUCUGCAGCCAUAGGCAGGCCAGGCGGGCCGACAAGCUGGCCAGCGAGUCCGCCGACACCGUCGUCACCGUCGUCCGCGCCGCCCGGAGGCAGGAGGUCUCCACAUUCGACGUCGUCGUGGGCGAUGUGGUAAUACUGAGAAGCGGCGACGCCGUGCCGGCGGACGGGGUGCUCCUCCAUGGCCACGGCCUGCGGGUCGACGAGCCCCACCCUGGCCCGGUGGAAAUCCAAGCCGAGAGAAACCCCUUCCUCGCCUCCGGUGUGAAGGUGCUCGACGGCCACGGCUCCAUGCUCGUCACCGCAGUCGGCACCGACACGUCGUUGGGCGAGGCCUUGAGGAGCCACACAGACCCUCACCCGGCGACGCUCCAGGAGCGUCUCGAGGGCCACACCUCGACCGUCGGCAAGGUGGCCGACGCCGUCGCUGCUGUCGCCUUCACCGUGCUCACCGCGCGCCAUUUCACUGGCUGCGGCACGGGAAUGAUGCCGCUGCUGGACAAGGGCGUCGCGCUCGCGGCGACGCUGAUGCUCACCUUAUCCAUGAAGCCGGUGGUCAUGGACAACGCGCUGGUCCACCGUCUGUCGGCUUUGGAGACGAUGGCGUCCGUCACGGCCAUCUGCGCCGACAAGACUGGAACGCUGACGCUGAACCAGAUGAGCGUGGCCGAGUUCUGGGUCGGCGCUGAGCAGCCUUCAUCCGCCACGGCGAUCGCCGGUGGCGUUGUGAACUUGCUGCGCCAGGGAGCCGGCCUUAACACCACCGGGAGCGUGUACAUGCCGGACAACGCGUCGCCGCCGGAGAUAUCGGGCAGCCCGACGGAGAAGGCGCUGCUGUCGUGGGCGGUGGCGUGCCUCGGCAUGGACGCCGCCACGCUCAGGAGGAGCUUCAGUGUCCUAGAAGUCGAGGCGUUCGACUCUCACCGGAAGCACAGCCGGGCCGUAAUCAGGGACAAUGCCAACGGCGUGGUGCUCGCGCACUGGAAAGGCGCCGCUGAUGUCGUCCUGGCGGGGUGCUCCAUGUACGUGGACACAAGGGGAGAUGCGCGUGAACUCGGCGUCGAGCAGCGGAACAUGCUUGAGAAGGUGAGCAACGACAUGGGGGCCCGAGGCCUCCGGUGCAUCGCCUUCGCCUGCAAGCAGGUCCACCGCACCGAGCCAUCAGAGAUCGACGACGAGGCGGGUCUGACAUUGCUAGGCUUGGUCGGCUUGCACGACCCGUGCCGACCAGAGGUCAAGGCCGCCACUGAAGCAUGCACCAGGGCGGGCGUGGCUGUCAAGAUGGUCACCGGCGACAACAUUCCGACGGCCUGCGCGGCCGCCAACGGGUGCGGCAUCAUGUCCAGCGACGACUCCAAUGGAGUCGUCAUCGAGGGCCCCGAGUUCGUGGGCAUGCCGCCAGCGCGCCAGCUCGAGAUGGUUGACAAGCUCCGCGUCAUGGCGAGGUCGCGGUCCGGCGACAAGCAGGUGCUGGUGGAGCGGCUGAAGCAGAAGGGGCACGUGGUGGCCGUGACCACCGGCGAAGGCACCAGCGACGCGCGGGCGCUCGGGGCGGCCGACGUGGUGCUGUACAUGCGCGCCCCGGGCGCCCGUGUCGCUGGCAGUGUCAGGGACAUCAUCAUACUCAAGGGCAGGUUCGACGCUGUGGUCGCCGCAAUCCGGAUGGGCCGCUGCGUUUACAACAACUUCCAGAAGAUGGUCCAGUUCUACCUCACCGUAAACGUCGUGGCGAUCGUCGUCAACUUCGUGCCGGCGGUCACCACGGGCGACACUCCGCUGACGACCGAGCAGCUCCUGUGGGUGAACAUUGUGAUAGGCGCCUUGAGCGCGCUGGCGGUCGCCACGGACAAGCCCAGCGACGCGCUCAUGGACAGCCCGCCCGUCGCCCGCACGGCGCCGCUCGUCAGCAACGCCAUGUGGCGCGACCUCGCCGCGCAGGCGGCGUUCCAGGUCGCCGUGCUGCUGGCGCUCCAGUACCGUGGCCGCGACGUCCUCGGCACCGACGCCAAGGCCAUGGUCUUCAACGUCUACGUGCUCUGCCAGGUGUUCAACAAGUUCAACACGCGGGAGAUGGAGAAGAAGAAUGCUUUCGCCGGGGUGCUCACGAGCAGCAGCACGAUGUUCCUCGUCUUCAUCGCCGGCAUGCUCGUGCUGCAGGUGGUGAUGGUGGAGGUGCUCGGCAGGCUCGCCGGCGCUGAGAGGCUCGGCCUGGGGCAGUGGGGCAUCUGCGUCGCCAUGGCCGCCGUGUCGUGGCCCGUCGCCAUGGCCGCCAAGUUCAUCCCCGUGACAUCGCCGUGCAGGAGCUCAUCACACGCCAACGCAUUAUGUUAG
This 2910-nucleotide ribosomal RNA is filed under the name Triticum aestivum (bread wheat). RNAcentral describes it as "partial small subunit ribosomal RNA". Lineage: Eukaryota; Viridiplantae; Streptophyta; Magnoliopsida; Poales; Poaceae. The record is from RNAcentral.